CGACGGACGGCCCAACGAGAAAAAAACAGCCCAGUCGCCCUAGGGGAGUCAGGGUUAGGGUGGCAGGAGGCGUGCAGGCGAUGGCCACCACGCAUCGGCAUCGACGCAUCGCGCCGCCUCGCGUCUCGGGCUCUCGGCGUCGUCGCUGCGCGCGACCGCGCCGGCUCGCCGCCUCCCGCCCCUGAGAGUGGAGACGGGGGCAGGCGACGCGACGCGACGCGACGCCGCCAUUCUGCCCCCGCCACCCCGCGCGCCGGCGCCGGGUCCCCUGGGCUCUCCGCCUCAGGCCUCAGCGCCUCGCUCGCCUUCGACUCCCUGUCCCUCUCCAGCUCUCUUGCUGCCCUGAGUGCAACGAAUUCGGAUCUGGAAAACGUCAGUGUUUGGCUGUUUGCAACGCGCAACACAGGCUCUAACCACAAGUCUGGAACAUUUCUCCAGGUGACCUCUGUGAGUCUGGGAGCAGUUAAUUCCUAUCUUUUAUGUUUGAUCCAGUUAGCUUCUAAUGGAUCCUGA
RNAcentral lists this long non-coding RNA (513 nucleotides) under Oryza sativa Indica Group (long-grained rice). Its description in RNAcentral is "lncRNA OsZS97_07G002590". Lineage: Eukaryota; Viridiplantae; Streptophyta; Magnoliopsida; Poales; Poaceae. The record is from RNAcentral.